AUAUUUACAGCGAUCACUUUUCAGUUAAGUUUCAGCACUUAACGGUAAUUGUGUAUUGAUUACAGUAUUCAACCAAAAGUAUUAAGUAGAACAAACAAAAAAAAAAUAGUAAGAGGGAUAACAUGCUCAUCAACAGUCAGGGUGAGGGCUGAUCAAGUCACCGUUUCUCAUAAUGUUCAUUUCACUUUAACAGGUUUUCUUUUUGGUGCUCAGUUAGUUGUCACCUAUCAAGGAGAACAAGUGGUAUUUGUCCCUUUGGGAUUGGCUUAUUUUAAUUUCUUUUUUAUUUUCUGAAAGAAUUAUUUACUAAUAUUGCAUAGGUUUAAUCUUGAAACAACAAAUAGCAAACUACCCUUAAAUGUGCUAUAUAGAUAAGAAAAGGGGGUAUUAAUAGAAAUCAAAGUGAGCCAGUUUUAAGAGCCUAUAUUAAAAGCUAAUUUGGAAAUAGCUGCAUUGCUGAAUACCUGUAGUAUACCAGAAAUCAAAUGUUGUCAAUAGGAUACAUUUAACAGCAACCUGAAAUAAUUCUUAAUCUGCAUACUUGGAAUGCUUGUAUUUUAAUUUUGGUUUAAGUUUUGGAACUUAAAAAAAUUAGAUGUGAGAUAUAAGGAAUAUGGUUCAAAAUGACAAACCUAAACCAUAUCCAAUGCGAUGGGACUUGUUCAGAAGUUCCUCCUAGUAUGAAACAGGAGCCUAUUCUCAACCUAUUUUUCAAUUAAUAAUUGAGAAAAUGUUAAAUGUUUUAAGCAAAAUCUUUCAGAAUCUCAAUAGUUAAUAAUAAAAGACAACCGUGUUUCUAAAACAUUGUCUAAUGAUUUCAUUCCCUAGUGAGCCAGUGCCUAAGUCCCAGUAGUAUAUCACACAUUUGGUAGAGUCCAGAAUUUUAGGAUCCUUAAUGAUUAUUAAGGAUACAAGUUGGAGAAGGGGGCAGCAUUGUGGCAUAGGGUUAACCCUCCACCUGCAAGAGCAGCAGAAGAUGGCCCAAGUACUGGGGCCCCUGGCACCGCAGCCAUUUUGGAUUAUUUUUAGAAAAGAAUUAUUUAUGAAAUAUUUGAAACACUGAAGUGUGAUAAUAAUGCCAUUUUAUUUGUAACAUUUUGUUCUUUAUCUUUCUGUUUAUACGGGCCCUCUAAUGCCAACGGUUCCUAAAAUUUGAGCUAGACACUUCUAAGCCUACUAAUCAGGUAUCAGCAAUAUUAUGUGUCAAGUAGAUCCUAAUUCAAGGUGGGUAAAGAGCCAUUUAAUAAAUUCAAACUGUGCUGAUCGCA
RNAcentral lists this long non-coding RNA (1268 nucleotides) under Oryctolagus cuniculus (rabbit). Its description in RNAcentral is "lncRNA (ENSOCUG00000036038.1)". The record is from RNAcentral. Lineage: Eukaryota; Metazoa; Chordata; Mammalia; Lagomorpha; Leporidae.